GGGGACAUAGCUCAAUGAUAGAGCAUCUGCCUAGUGUGCAUGACCCUUGAGUUCAAUUCCCAAUACCCUCA
Non-coding RNA from Cricetulus griseus (Chinese hamster), 71 nucleotides. The record is from Rfam. Lineage: Eukaryota; Metazoa; Chordata; Mammalia; Rodentia; Cricetidae.